AAUUUUAUCAUAAAAUUCUUUAGAACAUACAUUAAUAACUCUAUUUUCUACUUCUAACCCACAUUGUAAUAGAUAAUUGAAUUCUCCCAUAGUAUCUGCAAAACCUACUUCUUCAUAUGCUCCUGAAAUAAAAUCAUUUUCAAUCAAUUCUCCAUUUUCUUUCAAAAUUUGUUCAAUAUUUUUAAUAUAACAUCUGUCCC
Molecule: long non-coding RNA, 200 nt
Filed under: Physcomitrium patens
Lineage: Eukaryota; Viridiplantae; Streptophyta; Bryopsida; Funariales; Funariaceae
Description: long non-coding RNA (PPAT_LNC009323)
Source: RNAcentral